GUUAAGUUGCAGGGUAUAGACCCGAAACCCGGUGAUCUAGCCAUGGGCAGGUUGAAGGUUGGGUAACACUAACUGGAGGACCGAACCGACUAAUGUUGAAAAAUUAGCGGAUGACCUGUGGCUGGGGGUGAAAGGCCAAUCAAACCGGGAGAUAGCUGGUUCUCCCCGAAAGCUAUUUAGGUAGCGCCUCGUGAAUUCAUCUCCGGGGGUAGAGCACUGUUUCGGCUAGGGGGCCAUCCCGGCUUACCAACCCGAUGCAAACUGCGAAUACCGGAGAAUGUUAUCACGGGAGACACACGGCGGGUGCUAACGUCCGUCGUGAAGAGGGAAACAACCCAGACCGCCAGCUAAGGUCCCAAAGUCAUGGUUAAGUGGGAAACGAUGUGGGAAGGCCCAGACAGCCAGGAUGUUGGCUUAGAAGCAGCCAUCAUUUAAAGAAAGCGUAAUAGCUCACUGGUCGAGUCGGCCUGCGCGGAAGAUGUAACGGGGCUAAACCAUGCACCGAAGCUGCGGCAGCGAACGUAUCACC
RNAcentral lists this ribosomal RNA (529 nucleotides) under Salmonella enterica. Its description in RNAcentral is "partial 23S ribosomal RNA". It matches the Rfam family "Bacterial large subunit ribosomal RNA", at positions 694 to 1221 of the family's 2925-position model. The record is from RNAcentral. Lineage: Bacteria; Pseudomonadati; Pseudomonadota; Gammaproteobacteria; Enterobacterales; Enterobacteriaceae. RNAcentral also lists the same sequence under 1 other name.